UUUUCUACAGAUCAGAUUGACUUG
RNAcentral lists this microRNA (24 nucleotides) under Amborella trichopoda. RNAcentral's name for it is "atr-miR8608". The record is from miRBase by way of RNAcentral. Lineage: Eukaryota; Viridiplantae; Streptophyta; Magnoliopsida; Amborellales; Amborellaceae.